UGAGGAAUAUUGGUCAAUGGACGAGAGUCUGAACCAGCCAAGUAGCGUGCAGGAUGACGGCCCUAUGGGCUGUAAACUGCUUUUGUUUGGGAAUAAUCGACAUUACGUGUAAUGUUUUGCAUGUACCAUUCGAAUAAGGACCGGCUAAUUCCGUGCCAGCAGCCGCGGUAAUACGGAAGGUCCAGGCGUUAUCCGGAUUUAUUGGGUUUAAAGGGAGUGUAGGCGGUUGGUUAAGCGUGUUGUGAAAUGUAGAUGCUCAACAUCUGACUUGCAGCGCGAACUGGCUGACUUGAGUACACACAACGUAGGCGGAAUUCAUGGUGUAGCGGUGAAAUGCUUAGAUAUCAUGAAGAACUCCGAUUGCGAAGGCAGCUUACGGGAGUGUUACUGACGCUUAAGCUCGAAGGUGCGGGUAUCGAACAGG
This 424-nucleotide ribosomal RNA is filed under the name Verrucomicrobiota bacterium. RNAcentral describes it as "Verrucomicrobia bacterium partial 16S ribosomal RNA". It matches the Rfam family "Bacterial small subunit ribosomal RNA", at positions 355 to 776 of the family's 1533-position model. The record is from RNAcentral. Lineage: Bacteria; Pseudomonadati; Verrucomicrobiota.